Molecule: long non-coding RNA, 166 nt
Organism: Juglans microcarpa x Juglans regia
Lineage: Eukaryota; Viridiplantae; Streptophyta; Magnoliopsida; Fagales; Juglandaceae
Exons: 3
Source: RefSeq, a predicted model, not a curated record
AGAACUAUACAUGGUAACAGCUAAUGUAUAGCUCCUAACUACUAGCAUCUAUACAUGGUAAGAAUAACUAUUGAGUAUAUACGGUAAGAAUAACUAUUAGCAUCUAUACAUGGUAAGAAGAAUAUCUAAUAUCUAAGUUAACAACAACUAGUACUGAGAAGUAAGA